GAACGCACCUUGCGCCCUAUGAUAUUCCGUAGGGCAUGCCUGUUCGAGCGUCAUUCAAACCUUCAAGCUCUGCUUGGUGUUGGGCGUCUGUCCUGCCUCACGGCGCGGACUCGCCUCAAAUCUAUUGGCGGCCGGCACGUUGGCUUCGAGCGCAGCAGAAACGCGAACUCGGGCCCGACGGAUCGGCUCCCAGAAGCUACCCCCAUGAAUUUGACCUCGGAUCAGGUAGGGAUACCCGCUGAACUUAAG
Molecule: unclassified non-coding RNA, 249 nt
Filed under: uncultured Dothideomycetes
Lineage: Eukaryota; Fungi; Ascomycota; Dothideomycetes
Description: sequence contains 5.8S rRNA gene
Source: RNAcentral